GAUCAUGGCUCAGGAUGAACGCUAGCGGCAGGCUUUAACACAUGCAAGUCGAGGGGCAGCAUGAAGGUUAGCAAUAACCUUUGAUGGCGACCGGCGCAAGGGUGCGUAACGCGUGAGCAACUUGCCCGUUUCAGGGGGGAUAACCGGUGGAAACGCCGACUAAUACCCCCAUAGCAUUGGUUUGAGGCAUCUCUUACCAAUUAAAGAAUUUCGGAAACGGAUAGGCUCGCGUGACAUUAGCUAGAUGGCGGGGUAACGGCCCACCAUGGCUACGAUGUCUAGGGGUUCUGAGAGGAAGGUCCCCCACACUGGAACUGAGACACGGUCCAGACUCCUACGGGAGGCAGCAGUGAGGAAUAUUGGUCAAUGGUCUGACGACUGAACCAGCCAUGCCGCGUGAAGGUCACGGCCCUAUGGGUCUUAAACUUCUUUUGUAAGGGAGCAAUAAGCUUUACGUGUAGAGUGAUGAGAGUACCUUACGAAUAAGCAUCGGCUAACUCCGUG
RNAcentral lists this ribosomal RNA (504 nucleotides) under uncultured bacterium. RNAcentral's name for it is "bacterial SSU rRNA". It matches the Rfam family "Bacterial small subunit ribosomal RNA", at positions 15 to 507 of the family's 1533-position model. The record is from RNAcentral.